RNAcentral lists this small RNA (1180 nucleotides) under uncultured Anaerolineaceae bacterium. RNAcentral describes it as "bacterial SSU rRNA". The stretch from base 1 to 474 matches the Rfam family "Bacterial small subunit ribosomal RNA", at positions 1045 to 1533 of the family's 1533-position model. The record is from RNAcentral. Lineage: Bacteria; Bacillati; Chloroflexota; Anaerolineae; Anaerolineales; Anaerolineaceae.
AUGGCUGUCGUCAGCUCGUGUCGUGAGAUGUUCGGUUAAGUCCGCCAACGAGCGCAACCCUCGCCGUAUGUUACAAGUGUCAUACGGGACCGCCGGUAUCAAGCCGGAGGAAGGUGGGGAUGACGUCAAGUCAGCAUGGCCUUUAUGCCUGGGGCUACACACACGCUACAAUGGCCGGUACAAUGGGUCGCUAAGCCGCGAGGUAGAGCCAAUCCCUAAAGCCGGUCUCAGUUCAGAUCACAGGCUGCAACCCGCCUGUGUGAAGUCGGAGUUGCUAGUAAACGCGCGUCAGCUAUAGUGCGUUGAAUACGUUCCCGGGGAUUGUACACACCGCCCGUCACGUCAUGGGAGCUGGCAACACCUGAAGCCGGUAGCCUAACCGCAAGGAGGGCGCCGUCGAAGGUGGGGUUGGUGACUGGGACGAAGUCGUAACAAGGUAGGUGUACCGGAAGGUGCGCCUGGAUCACCUCCUUUCUAGAUUAACGAGCAAGGGUUCAGAACUCACGCAACCUGUGCUCAACCAAAUCUUUCACCCGCGGUGGGUGAGAGUCGAUAAGUAAGCUUCCUAUCACAAUUCAGUUGUUAAGGCCUAGCCUGGGCGGGCCUGUAGCUCAGCUGGUUAGAGCACAGUCCUGAUAAGACUGGGGUCACUGGUUCGAGUCCAGUCAGGCCCACCUGAUUUCUCAGGCAGUGCUCGGGGAUGUAGCUCAGCGGGAGAGCAACGCCUUUGCAAGGCGAAGGCCACGGGUUCGAAUCCCGUCAUCUCCACUGAGCCUUUGCAUGAAAAGAUGAGGAAAAGUUUGAAGUUGGUGAACCUGGAACAACGAUAGAAGUUUGGCUCUGAUCGCAAGGGUAAAACACGCAGCCCGGCGAUGAGCCGGGUCGCUUUGUCGAAAGAAAUAGUUGACUGCCAACCCGUGUACUUGACAGAUGUGAAGCACACCGGUCGCCGGUCAACGGCGAAAACAGAACCUUGACAACUGAAUAGUUAUUGAUGAAUUGACAAUUUUUGAUGUAGGCCGAACAAUAUCAAUUUCUCCGCAUCACGUGGAGAAGCUACUAAGGGCUUACGGUGGAUGCCUUGGCGCCAAUUGCCGAUGAAGGACGUGGGACACUGCGAUAAGCCUCGGGUAGCCGUGAACAGGCGUUAAUCCGAGGAUUUCCGAAUGGGGAAACCCGG